GAUGAACGCUAGCUACAGGCUUAACACAUGCAAGUCGAGGGGAAACGACAUCGAAAGCUUGCUUUUGAUGGGCGUCGACCGGCGCACGGGUGAGUAACGCGUAUCCAACCUGCCCACCACUUGGGGAUAACCUUGCGAAAGUAAGACUAAUACCCAAUGAUAUCCAUAGAAGACAUCUGAAAUGGAUUAAAGAUUUAUCGGUGAUGGAUGGGGAUGCGUCUGAUUAGCUUGUUGGCGGGGUAACGGCCCACCAAGGCGACGAUCAGUAGGGGUUCUGAGAGGAAGGUCCCCCACAUUGGAACUGAGACACGGUCCAAACUCCUACGGGAGGCAGCAGUGAGGAAUAUUGGUCAAUGGACGAGAGUCUGAACCAGCCAAGUAGCGUGCAGGACGACGGCCCUAUGGGUUGUAAACUGCUUUUAUAGGGAAUAAAGUGAGCUACGUGUAGCUUUUUGCAUGUACCUUAUGAAUAAGGACCGGCUAAUUCC
Molecule: ribosomal RNA, 488 nt
Filed under: uncultured bacterium
Lineage: Bacteria
Description: bacterial SSU rRNA
Rfam family: Bacterial small subunit ribosomal RNA
Source: RNAcentral